UACAGAGGGUGCAAGCGUUGUUCGGAAUUAUUGGGCGUAAAGGGCGCGUAGGCGGUGCGGUAAGUCUGUAGUGAAAUCUCUGGGCUCAACUCAGAGUCUGCUGCAGAAACUGCCGUGCUUGAGUGUGGGAGAGGUGAGUGGAAUUCCCGGUGUAGCGGUGAAAUGCGUAGAUAUCGUAAGGAAGACCAGUGGCGAAGGCGGGUCUCUGGACAGUUCCUGACGCUGAGGCACGAAGGUCAGGGGAGCAAACGGG
Molecule: ribosomal RNA, 253 nt
Filed under: uncultured bacterium
Lineage: Bacteria
Description: partial 16S ribosomal RNA
Rfam family: Bacterial small subunit ribosomal RNA
Source: RNAcentral